ACAAGCGGUGGAGUAUGUGGUUUAAUUCGAUGCAACGCGAAGAACCUUACCUGGUCUUGACAUCCCGGAGACCCUUAGGAAACUAGGGGGUGCUUCCAUCUGGAAGAAUCUGGAGACAGGUGCUGCAUGGCUGUCGUCAGCUCGUGUCGUGAGAUGUUGGGUUAAGUCCCGCAACGAGCGCAACCCUUGCCUUUAGUUGCCAUCAGUUCGGCUGGGCACUCUAUGGAGACUGCCACCUAAAGUGGAGGAAGGUGGGGAUGACGUCAAGUCAGCAUGGCCCUUACGUCCGGGGCUACACACGUGCUACAAUGGCCGGUACAAAGGGUUGCGAAGCCGUGAGGUGGAGCGAAUCUCAAAAAGCCGGCCUCAGUUCGGAUUGGAGGCUGCAACUCGCCUCCAUGAAGUCGGAAUCGCUAGUAACCGCAGAUCAGCUACGUUGCGGUGAAUACGUUCCCGGGCCUU
RNAcentral lists this ribosomal RNA (462 nucleotides) under uncultured Desulfobulbus sp. RNAcentral's name for it is "bacterial SSU rRNA". It matches the Rfam family "Bacterial small subunit ribosomal RNA", at positions 925 to 1382 of the family's 1533-position model. The record is from RNAcentral. Lineage: Bacteria; Pseudomonadati; Thermodesulfobacteriota; Desulfobulbia; Desulfobulbales; Desulfobulbaceae.